UACGAAGGGGGCUAGCGUUGCUCGGAAUUACUGGGCGUAAAGCGCACGUAGGCGGAUCUUUAAGUCAGGGGUGAAAUCCUGGAGCUCAACUCCAGAACUGCCUUUGAUACUGAGGACCUUGAGUUCGGGAGAGGUGAGUGGAACUGCGAGUGUAGAGGUGAAAUUCGUAGAUAUUCGCAAGAACACCAGUGGCGAAGGCGGCUCACUGGCCCGAUACUGACGCUGAGGUGCGAAAGCGUGGGGAGUAAACAGG
Molecule: ribosomal RNA, 253 nt
Filed under: uncultured bacterium
Lineage: Bacteria
Description: partial 16S ribosomal RNA
Rfam family: Bacterial small subunit ribosomal RNA
Source: RNAcentral